AAGUCGUAACAAGGUUUCCGUAGGUGAACCUGCGGAAGGAUCAUUAACAAAUCCUUAUGGAUUAAUCCAUAUCCACCUUUUGUGAAACGUACGCGUCUAUUCUGGGAGGUAAAGCUUGCGCAAACCUUUAUGGCUUGCCUGGCGCUUGGUCUCUUCAAACAAUGUGAUGUGCUCUUUGGGUGAUGGGUGCCAGCGAUAUGCUUGUCUCAUCACUGUGAUGCGCAAUAGCAAGUCACAGCACGCACAUUGGGGGCCGAGGCCUCCCAGAAGGUUUUAUUAACAAGUGUAUUUUUGUUUGACUGAAGCCAAUUUUGAAAUAAAAAUUAAAAACAACUUUUAACAACGGAUCUCUUGGCUCUC
This 360-nucleotide unclassified non-coding RNA is filed under the name fungal sp. RNAcentral's name for it is "partial internal transcribed spacer region". The stretch from base 1 to 46 matches the Rfam family "Eukaryotic small subunit ribosomal RNA", at positions 1786 to 1831 of the family's 1831-position model. Lineage: Eukaryota; Fungi. The record is from RNAcentral.